GUAAUAUAGAUCAAAGUAUCGCUCCUGCGGCAAUACCAAGCUCCGCGUGUGUGUGCGUAUUGUUCUUCUGGCCAGUUGGCCGCUGUGUACGCCGGUGUUGUUUGGUGGUCAGAUCCAUCAAAGUAGUACACGUACGUGUGUCUCCAGCCUCAAGCAAUUGGCUGUGUACGUGCAUAUCUAGCUAGCUUGGGGCAGCAAUCCAAGACCGUCAGCGUUGCUUCGGUUUGUUGUCGUUCGUUCGUCGUCGGUCAUCGCCGUCACCGGAAAGUACUCGGUGUCAGGUCUAGAUCAAGAGGUGCAACCUUAAUAAAAAAAUAAUUUCACAUGGCAGUGAGAGAUGAUAGCCAACAUGCAAUGAAUAAAAUAAUCUAUUAUGGCUGCAUUAGUAGCACGAACAUAGUAGGAACACCUCCCAAAGGUUAGCUACGAACCGAACGCCUUUCUUUUUUCCCAUGCCACUGUUUUGGGUCAUGCAGGAUUGUACUGUACAGCCAACCCCAUUCCUGUACUUUUUAGUAAAACUUCUUCUAUUUACUAAUUGGAGGCACCAUUCAAGUAUUCUCAUUAAUCCACAUCAUGAAAAUUAAUUACACCGUUGGAUUAUAGAAUAUACGUCUAGGAUAAAAGAAAAACUUGCGUAACAUAGAUUGCUCCGUAUGUCCACAAUAAAGGCAUCUAUCACGUCCUAGGUAGUAGUAUAAAAAAACAUUGGUAUGUAGUCUCUAGAAAGAAAAAGGGAAAAGGCAGAAAGAAAACAAAAAGAGGAAAGAAAUCAGCGUGGAAAACUGUACAUAUAUCACGGAACGUGGGGAUGUUGGAAUCCCAUAACUUACCCGAGAGAUAACUCCACGAACUACUGCCUCCGCGACUCGACAACCAAAAUCCCCAUGCCCAGCUUCCAAUCGCCUUUUCGUUCCAGCGAACAUGCGCCGGCGCCGGCCACCAGGACGAGGCUGUUCGGCCGCGUCAACAUGGGUAAUUUCAUAUUGGUGUAGGCUGAUUGGCUGAUUUCCUAUUGGCGUAGGCUGAUGAGGCUAACAUGAUGGAGAAUGAGAAGAUGCCGCGGCGCUGGAGGCAGGAGGGAGAGUACCAACGACCCUUCCGUCGUGUAACCAAGGCGUACUGCAUGCAUCCUGCUGAAGUCUAUUGAGAGAGAGAGGUUGUCGAGAUGGUGAAGAAGUAGGGAACGAAGAUGAUCAUCAUUGGGAAUUAAGACGCCAAGUAGAUCGCCGAUGGGGAGGUUUAGUUCCAUGACAAGCUCGACAAUGACGUCAAGGGGAACACCCACCUACAACACGGAGCUACCCAGCAGGUAUACGUACUGGAAACAGAAACAUUACUGUAGUAGCUAUGUGAAACAAAUAUACAACGUGAGACCUAAUAACAUUAGGACAGUCAGCAUAAUAAUUAAGUUUCCACUAUUCAUUGGAAUUUUGUUGUAAAGUUCUAGAUCAACUCAUCAAUACAUAUUUAUGAACUCCCAUGAUUUAGUAAUUUUCUGUAAUGUGCGAGAGAAUAUUGUGUUCUUAGAGUAUUUACUUAGUGUCGAAACAAGCUUUCUCACUAUUUUAUAUAUAAACCACCAUGUCCAUAUGUACAAGCCGUUAGGUAUGCCUUAGACCUUAGGAGCACUUUGAUGAUGUGGUGAGAUUUCAAACGACCCCGCCUUCUCCAUGUGUGGUACACGUACGUACAUCCCUAACUGUAAAAAUUUGCUGUGACUGCGGCCCAUUCCGAGAAUUAUCUUGCUUGGUCAGUUCCUCCGCUGAUUAGUUCGCAAUAAUUAUGAAAGUGUGUUCAUCAGCCUCCGUCAUGUGUCUCCUGCUAAGGAUAAUAUAUGAAGGCGUGUUCAUCAGCCUCCGUCAUGCGUCUCCUGCUAAGGAUAAAAUACUGGAUCUUUGGUGUGUCGGAAAGAAUGACGUGCAAGGGUUGGGGACAAUGAGUUAACAGAUUCUGACCCAUUUUUUUCAUCUCUUAGUAGUUCUCCAUAUACCCCAGUGCAUAUCGUUGAGUCUUUACUUUUACCUUUGUUUCCAUAUUGUAACAGGCAAACAUGACAGGAGAAGUGCUUAAUUGGUGUGUUCCAAGCAAGAUUGGUGUGUUGUGUUUCACAUCCGGACAUGGAUGUGGGUAUCUUCAUACCUUUUUACUAACUGGUGACUAUGCAUAUGUGGUCUGCUAAAUAAUAACAAGGAGUAUUUUUUGAUCUAUGGAGUUCUCCCUGUUCCAAAAAAUAGAAUAACAAGGAGUAUAUACCAGUACAUAUGGACGAAAACAUCUAUUGUAUUGUAUAUUCAACACACGGAUUCCAUUGUUUCUUUCAAUUUCAAAGAACGUGUCUACUUGAAAAUAUUCUUUGGCUUAUGUGUGGGACAGGCAGGCCAGCAGCAGAACCCCACAAGAGCUAACAAACUUAUGCUGAGUUACAAGUUCAACCUUAUUCGAUUGGCCAAUUUUUUUAGUUCUGCAUACUCACAUUCAGGACCACAAAGUUGUAGAUAACAUCUCCCUUUUAUGCAUGGAGAAGGUAACACUACUCCAAUAAAUUCGAAGUUAAUUUAGAUCUUUCAAUUGACAAAUUCUUUAGGAUACCUCUGAAGUUGGGACUUAUAUAUACAAAUUUUUCAAUCAUUCCGUAGUUACAUGGUUCGCUUAAUUUUUGGACUGCCAAUACUUUAUUAAGUGGUUGAUAGAAAUAUGACCUGUCAUUUAUAUUAAAAGAUGGGUUAAUUUUAUGGGUUUUUUGUGGCGGACUAUCAUUACCUCUCGCCUAUUCCUCCCAUAAUGCCACUGGGUGCAUACUGCUAUAAGGUAUUUUACAACUGAACUGAGCAGUUUUAAUAUAUUUGCACAAGAAUGACCAGUACUGGAAAAUCGUUCUGGCCACUUUCUUAUAUCGAUGUGAUUGUUAUUGCAACUGUCUUCUAAAGUCACACAUAAUUUCAUAUAGAGACCCGCUUCGGUAGAGCCCCCUGACCUUCCACACUGAGGUAUGUAUAAUGAGUUGUUCGUCGGUUGUAUCAAUCUGAAACCAAACGAUCCUCAACUUUCAGUUGUAUCAAUCUGAUGUUAACUUUUUGUUUUUGAAUUAUAUUCCCAAUGUAUUGCUGUACUUAAGGAUGUGUUCUUGAGAAAGUUCGCAAGAUGUUCUCCUUUUUACUAAUAUUUUUUAGUUACAUGUAUAAAACUGAUUGAUAGAAUCUCAGAGUUUCAAAGAAGAAAUCAUUUUCUUUUGAGCAGACAAUGUUAGUAUUUUUAGUACUAUCUGAAUCAAUUGGUCAUGGAAUUUUGCCUUUCACAAUGGUAGCAGCAAGGUUGUAUCAUCCACUACAUCAACCCCAUCAACAUUAUUUCAUUCAGCUACGCUCAAUGUUAACCAUUAGUUUAGAUUCUUCUAGAUGAACCAAUGAAUUCACGCUGUUAUUUUGGUGAGUGAUUUUGUACUAAAUUGUUUUGGUGUUUUUCCAGAUAUAUAACAAAUCAAAAUGCAGUCAAGAAGAAAAAAAUAAGCCAACUUAGUAAAAACAUGAGUAGGAAUACACUUUAUUCUAUUUCUUGCCUUUAUAUGAGAAUUAUUAUGAUUGUAUAUUCCUAUUUUGUUAACAAAGUGAUCCUUCCUUGCGAAUAUAUAUUAGCCUGCUGGUAUAUCUUCUUCAUUUACGAAUUGGAAUGUAAAACUAAAGAAAUAAGCAAUGGAGAAUUAAAACUUUGUGAAUUAAUCAAUGGUUUGAUUCAAAUUCAGAUAAUGGUCACUAUCUCAAAUCUAUUGAAAUUUAUUGUUCGUAUUCCAGGACUUAGACUCACAUCAUACUGAUGAGGGAAAAAUAUUGAAAUAUAUGACACCUUUUGUACUAUUUUGAUUUAAAAUGUUUAUUUCCACACUGUAUAUUGGUAUAACACCAUAAUGUUUAAACUGUGUAAAAAUCCCUAGCCCGUGCAGAUGCAUGGGUUGAUGACUAGUUGUUUUCCUAACCUGUAUUAGGAACGGGGCCUUAUUGUUUUGAGAAAACAAGGCGGCGAAGGCUGCAUUCAUGCACGCCCGGACCUGGAUGCCACUUGCCAAGCUGCCAGUCUUAGAAUAGGUUAACAAUGUGCUAUUAGGCUAAACUUGCAGACCAGACCACGUUUGCAUUUUAAGCUUUGGAUAGGAAUGAAUGAAGCUGCUGUGCAGGCAGUGGUAUCCAGGGCGUAACAAA
This is a long non-coding RNA of Triticum aestivum (bread wheat), 4196 nucleotides long. RefSeq lists it as uncharacterized. The record is from RefSeq and is a predicted model, not a curated record. The transcript is spliced from 3 exons. Lineage: Eukaryota; Viridiplantae; Streptophyta; Magnoliopsida; Poales; Poaceae.